UCUUAGAAUGUCUCAAGUCUCAUGCCAAGAAUGGCAACUGCAGAGUAAUAGUUGUAGUACAGACAAAGUGCCCAUGAUACCAGUGGAUGCAGCCUGUGAGCUGUGCUCUGCCCUGAUGCUUAGGGUAAAUUUAUCAAUUUUUCUGAAAUUGUACCUCAUGUUAUCCAUGUUCAGUUUGGACGUUCUUUGCUAAUUAAGAUGAUUUCUUCCUGUUAUGUGUCGUAACAUUUUCUCAAUGUGGUUUUAACGAUCAUUGGGGUUCUAACUGAGACAAAAGUUUUUUUUUUCGAGAAAACGCAAAGGACCCGUUUCAUUUCUUUGAAAAGAUGGAAGACCUACUAGGAGGUGGUUGAUACAUAGUUAUGUGUUCAGUCAAUGGACGUCCCAGGUUGUGGGCAGAACAACCCAAAGCCCCUGGGCGCCUGCCUUUGCCCAACACCGGCCUCCUCUUUGAUCCUAUUCACUAACGUUUCAAUGGAUGGUGUAUUGUUGUCGAAAACGCAUGCAUUCCUGUGCUUCCAUAUCAUCCAGGGGACGAGCAAUGCAAUGGACUUAAGGGCCUUCCGAUGUGCCGGCGGUGUGCGCUCCUUUGCGCGCAGCCACCACUCCAUGACGUUGGGUUCUUGAUCCGGCGGCUGGGCCGGCAAAUGCAGCCAGCCGAGGAUGAUAUGCCAUGCCUGACGGGCAAAGGGGCUGGGCCAGCAAAAGUUAAGGUGAGAACUUCAGAAUAAUCCCAAGCAGGUAAGCACUCCGGGAGUUCACCCACAUCCAAAUGGUAUGUGCAAAACCUCUUAUUCGCACUGCUCGUGGAGUUAUAGAUAGCAUCCACAUCAUGAGAUUUUGUAACAACGUUCUAAAAUUUGCAGUGAAUGACAUAGGAAUUAAGAUAUGGCAUGCAGUUGAGAUUAUAAGAGUUUGUCACACUAAACAAAUUUAUGUAAUGCUUAGUGAAUUUCCCAUGUAUUGAUUUUGUGUGACCUGCAACUGUUAGAACUGUUAUCAGCUUUGGUCUGGAUUACAUUAUACACAUAACAAAACUGAACUGGUAACAAUUAAGUUUCUAGGUUGCAGCACCGUACUACUUUGUGUAGAAUCAAAUUACUCUUUGUAGCUACCGAGUCCCAUUCUUGAUGGUGAAAUUCUUCACUGUCCUUUUUAGUCUGCUCCAGAUUCAGGAUAGAUGUACCAUUUGGAAGUGGCAGAAACCAAGUCAGCUCCUACUUCCAGACUUCCAGCUAUGUGUAGGAUGGUUGAGAUUCUUUUCAAUGUACCAUGCUUCUCAUUUAGUCCUGAACUGCUUAAAUACAUAGUAUGUUCAUUUUUUGAGAAAGUACAAAGUAGUACAACAACAACAACAUUAACAAAGCCUUUAGUCCCAAACAAGUUGGGGUAGGCUAGAGGUCAAACCCAUAAGAUCUCGCGACCAACUCAUGGCUCUGGCACAUGGAUAGCAAGCUUCCACGCACCCCUGUCCAUAGCUAGUUCUUUGGUGAUACUCCAAUCCUUCAGGUCUCUUUAACGGACUCCGCCCAUGUCAAAUUUGGUCUACCAGAAAGUACAAAGUAGUGUGCAAGAUAUUUUGGUGAUACCCAUAAUCAGGGUGUUUGUUUACUUGUUGUCCAUCUAGGUCAUAGGCGCGUAUAAGAAUUAUUGGUAUAUCUAUGUAGAAGAAGAGAGCCUACUGCAUAUGCAGGGCGUAUCAUAUCUUUUAAUGUGAACAAGCUACAGUGAAUGCAAUGUUGUAAAUUCAAGAUAUUCUUCAAAGUGAUCUUUUGCUUUUAUUGGAGUUUCUCAUUGCUUCCCAGUUUUAGUGUAAUCAGUUCUCCCUUUAAGGUCGUGAAUUAGUUCCAUCUGCAAAUAUGUAUGCUUCCUUAUUUUGUAUUUACAUAUAUGCCAGUGAAGUUGUCUGUGGACUUCUCUUUGCAAUUAGAAAACAUUUUCUUCUUAAUUUGUCGCAGUGAACACAACAAGUUAUUUAGGCUAAAUUAUACUUUAUGUUGGAAGUCAAUAAGCCAAGACUUCAACUUUGUUUCUGUUUUCAAAGCUUUAGCAUUGGAAUACGUUCUGAAUCGGCACCGUUGAUAUGUGCUUAAAUUGUUAGCUUGCUUCUUGCAAGUGCAUACUCUAUCAGAUGUUGGUACCACUUACCAUGUUGUAAAUCGCGAACCAAUGGAAUUGGACUUGAGCUGAAUGAUUUUCUUCAUUUUUAUUGCGAGCAGAUUCUUUUUCCUACUAUUAGGACUAUGCACCUUUAUAGUCAUUUUUCUCCUCUUGCUAUCAUAAAGUUACAGCAGUCUAGAGAUACUUGAAAGUUUGUUGUCCUUUAGGCCUAUGAUGAUGAUGAUUGAUGAGCCAUACCGAUCAUAGGAAUACCUUCAUAUUUUAAGAGCUCGAUUUUUUUUAUAAGUAUAGAUACUUGUGGGCAUGAAAAAUGAUGGUCUGCAUGUAUAUUUGAUGGUUUAAUCUCCUUCUCACAUUGUGAUGCGUGACAUCUCAGUCAUUUUCAUUUUGUGGUUGAUGCUCACACGAUGUUGUGAAAUAUUUUUAUUGCUAUGGAUCCCAGGAACGACCAGUUUAAAGCUUCCUAAUUUCAGUACUGCUUGAGAAGGGUUCCUUUUGAUGCUUACGUGCACAUCCAAGCCAGGAAAGGACAAAAUCCUUGAGCAGAGCUAUUGAAUUUUCUUAUGAUGAUCAAAUGAGUUAUCUGUCCACAUUUUUAUGUUUAGAACAUGGUUUCCUAAGUUGCCUGGUUCAAAUGGUUUAUCAUUUUGUCAUAUGGAUAUUGAUUUGCCUCCUCUAUUAUAUACCUGGGUAUGGAGCUUCUAGGUGUUUAUGUGCCAAGAUCCAAUGAAGUGAGGAUCGGGUGGCGAGGCCGACACGGCGGCUCACGGACUGGUUUGUCAGGGUGUUGGUGAACAUCACCAACGAGGCCAGAAUCUCCAGAAGGGAGUACCAGGGGACGGCGGCAACAAUGACUUCUAGCGAUGCUGCAGUCGUGGCCUUGGCAGAAUAGGGCAGACGACCCAGCCUGCACAACCCGCUGUUGUGGCUUGAGUGCAUGGGUUGCGGGUACUCGAUGUGAUCUUUGGGGACUUGAAAUGUUAAAUCUGUUGUGACUGUAUUUCUCUUUUCCUCUGAUUGAACAUGCAUUUGUCACUGUUGGAACUCACUCAAUUUAGCACCUCAUGGCAAAUGCGGAUUCACCACUUUUC
Aegilops tauschii subsp. strangulata is the source of this 3212-nucleotide non-coding RNA. The record is from RefSeq and is a predicted model, not a curated record. NCBI's taxonomy places the organism in Eukaryota, Viridiplantae, Streptophyta, Magnoliopsida, Poales, Poaceae.